This 492-nucleotide ribosomal RNA is filed under the name uncultured bacterium. Its description in RNAcentral is "partial 16S ribosomal RNA". It matches the Rfam family "Bacterial small subunit ribosomal RNA", at positions 29 to 507 of the family's 1533-position model. The record is from RNAcentral.
AGUGAACGCUGGCGGUAGGCCUAACACAUGCAAGUCGAACGGCAGCACAGUAAGAGCUUGCUCUUACGGGUGGCGAGUGGCGGACGGGUGAGGAAUACAUCGGAAUCUACUUUUUCGUGGGGGAUAACGUAGGGAAACUUGCGCUAAUACCGCAUACGACCUACGGGUGAAAGCAGGGGAUCUUCGCACCUUGCGCGAUUGAAUGAGCCGAUGUCGGAUUAGCUAGUUGGCGGGGUAAAGGCCCACCAAGGCGACGAUCCGUAGCUGGUCUGAGAGGAUGAUCAGCCACACUGGAACUGAGACACGGUCCAGACUCCUACGGGAGGCAGCAGUGGGGAAUAUUGGACAAUGGGCGCAAGCCUGAUCCAGCCAUACCGCGUGGGUGAAGAAGGCCUUCGGGUUGUAAAGCCCUUUUGUUGGGAAAGAAAAGCAGCAGGUUAAUACCCCGCUGUUCUGACGGUACCCAAAGAAUAAGCACCGGCUAACUUCGUG